GCGAAUGCACCAGAAUGCACUCAUUGGUUUACGUUUACAUGAAUGAACAUGGUUAUUGAAAUUUUGUGCUAACUUCUCACGUUUUAAGUAAAACGCACUUAUUCAAUCCCUUUUCUGUUAUCAAUUAUCAAGGUGAUAGAGUAAAAUUUUAAACACUACCCUUAUAUUUCAAAUUGUUUUGGAAGGAAAUCAGAAAAAUCAUGAAAAAGAAGGGAAAGAACCCAGAAAGUUGAGGUAAAGAUGAGGACAUUUACAUAUACACCAGGAACAUUACUGGUUGCACAACCAAUACCCCAUGCUACCAUUCCAACAACUUGCCACUGAUCAUUGCCAGAUUGACAUACCAAUGGUGAACCACCAUCACCCUAGAAGAAACACACGUUUCCCCUCCUGCACAUAAGAAGCUAUUUUGGUUAAGAUCAAAAGAUUGUCCAAGCCUGGUUCUUUUAAGCUCAGCUUCGCAAGUUGUUUGACCAACAAUGGAUACAUCUACUUCCUUCAUUAUACUCUGGUAUCUGCCAUUUGCACCGAAUGCAUCUUUUCCCCAGCCUGAUACCCAGCACCUGGAUUAAAAAUUGCAUUUGCAGGUAUUGCUCUAGGCAAGCAAGCAGUAUUGAUAUUAGGACUAGUUGAGAUAGGGACAGUACCACUUAAGGUUAUUACUGCUACAUCAUUUUGAAGAUUAACAGAAUUGAACUGUGGAUGUAUUGAUACUCUCUGGACUGAAUAUUCUUUAUAUGGAUAAGGCUCGUUAGUCGAUUGUACAUCCCAGUCUCCUAAUCUUACUUUGAGACCACCAUUUCUGUUAGACAGGGGCUACUUUGUGAGCAACAGUGAGCACAUGGUUUGGAGUAAUAAGCACCCCAGAGCCUGCAUAAGAGCUGCUCGAAGUUAAAAGUACAGCUUGCCAAGGAUAUGCUCCAUAACUAGCUUGGCCUUGGGGACGCGAAGUUGCGGCGAUUUUUCUAAUACCACAGGAGUCAGCCAAGUUUCCAGACAUUGAACAACAGUAUACUUCUCCAGCAGAGCAAUCAGAACCCUUGAAGAAAUGAAAAUGAAAUAAUAUAUUCAAAAAAGAAAUUCGAUUAAAACGAAAGAAUGUACUAAAUUAACUAUUUUGUACGUACUGGGUUAACUAUACGAAUGUCGAUGUCAGUGGUCGAUGUAUAGGGACACGUACCCGUUGGAACACAACAACAACCGUUUUCACCUUAAAGUUAGCGUUUGUAGGACUAUCAAAGGUAACCGUGUCUUGCGCCAGGACAUAAUACCGCAGAAUGCAAGCCACAAACAACAGGAACGAGCUGGUACCAAACAUUAUGGAACAGCUAUCUGUUUUCUAAGUUAUUCUGAGCUGUGCAAAAUCAAAGAACAAUAAGACUAGAGUAGCAGGUGUUCAUUGAUUUAUAUAGAAGAAGCGGUGGAAGAGCAGUAAUUCUUGUCGCGGCAAUGAAACGGUGUAAAAUAAAUCGGCCAAACAAUUUGUCGUAAAUUACUUCCGAUCAUGAUUGUGCCUUCAUUUACGUGUGGAACGAUGUCGCAAUGUUGUUGGAUUUUCACAAUAAAAUGCUUAGAAGUGGAACGAAAUGGAAGGUCAGACGCGCGUUAAAACGAAGAAGGUCAAUAAAUAUGACUUCUCGGUAGUUGCGUUAUGCAUCAUAAUUACGCUGGUUUUUCCUUUUCGUUAAUUGUAAAUAUCUGUUACAUACAGCGCUAUAAAUACAUAAAUAAGGGUUCUGGUUGAGAAGUCGCAUUCUCACUUUGAGCUUUGCACAUGUGAGAGCCUGCUUCAAGCAUUUUAAUAAAACUAUUCCUAUUAUUCUCUUUGAAAUAUAAAA
Long non-coding RNA from Osmia lignaria (orchard mason bee), 1838 nucleotides. RefSeq lists it as uncharacterized. The record is from RefSeq and is a predicted model, not a curated record. NCBI's taxonomy places the organism in Eukaryota, Metazoa, Arthropoda, Insecta, Hymenoptera, Megachilidae.